This 91-nucleotide non-coding RNA is filed under the name Roseinatronobacter ekhonensis. Its description in RNAcentral is "Rhodobacter sp. EL-50 Glycine riboswitch aptamer". It matches the Rfam family "Glycine riboswitch aptamer". From Rfam's summary of the family: This family represents the bacterial glycine riboswitch. Glycine riboswitches usually consist of two metabolite-binding aptamers domains with similar structures in tandem. Lineage: Bacteria; Pseudomonadati; Pseudomonadota; Alphaproteobacteria; Rhodobacterales; Paracoccaceae. The record is from Rfam by way of RNAcentral.
CCAUGCAGACACGGGAGACGUUGGACCCGCGCCAAGGCCGAAGGAGCAACCGCCCCGGUAAACUCUCAGGCAAAAGGACCGGUCUGCAAGA